RNA transcript from Cottoperca gobio, 1746 nucleotides. It is a transcript of the gene named protein-L-isoaspartate (D-aspartate) O-methyltransferase, with no coding region annotated. The record is from RefSeq and is a predicted model, not a curated record. NCBI's taxonomy places the organism in Eukaryota, Metazoa, Chordata, Actinopteri, Perciformes, Bovichtidae. The transcript has 8 exons.
GGGUGUGUGUAAGUGGAAGACUUGUGGAUGUCCAGUGACGUCCCGUCUGCGCUGGAGGUUGUCAGCUUCAUCGGCAGAACAUUUGGCGCAGGCGCGGCACUGACAGCUGCUGUCUACUUACUCCGCAAAACGUGUUUAAUAAUGGCCUGGAAAUCUGGAGGAGCCAGCCACGCAGAGCUUGUCAACAACCUCCGCAAAAAUGGCAUUAUUAAGUCCGACAAGGUCUAUGAAGUCAUGCUGGCCACAGACCGAGCCCAUUUCUCCAGGUGUAAUCCCUACAUGGAUUCGCCACAGUCAAUAGGCUAUCAAGCGACCAUCAGCGCCCCACACAUGCACGCCUACGCCCUGGAGCUCCUACAUGACCAGCUGUAUGAGGGGGCCAAAGCUCUAGACGUCGGCUCCGGCAGUGGGAUCCUGUCCGUUUGCUUCGCACGAAUGGUGGGUGCUAAAGGGAAAGUUAUAGGCAUUGAUCACAUCCAAGAGCUGGUGGACGAUUCUGUAACCAAUGUGAAGAAAGACGACCCCAGCUUGAUAACAUCGGGCAGAAUCCGGCUAAUAGUGGGAGACGGGCGAAUGGGCCUUACUGAGGAAGCGCCUUAUGAUGCCAUCCAUGUCGGUGCAGCAGCUCCUAACGUCCCCCAGGCUCUUCUGGACCAGUUGAAGCCCGGCGGCCGGCUGAUUCUGCCCGUCGGCCCGGCGGGGGGGAACCAGAUGCUGGAGCAAUACGACAAGCUGGAGGACGGCAGCACCAAAAUGAAGCCCUUGAUGGGGGUGAUUUAUGUGCCUUUAACAGACAAAGACAAGCAGUGGUCCAGGUGGAAGUGACUUCCUUCUCCCCCUCCUACCCCUCUCUCUCUCCUUCUCACAGUGGCACAGGGAUGAACUUUGAAGAGGAACACCGCCCAUAAUCCACCUUUUUUAAGUUUGAACCUGGAGACGACUCGGAUGGGGUCCAACAGCCCAUGACGGUGAAAGCAUAACAAAACAUGCUCCUUUUUGUUUAAGUCUAACGAUGGACUAGAGUAUCGCGUUGACAGACAGCCGAGGCGGGCUGGGAAGAAAGACUGCUUGAAGCUCAGCACACAAAUAUUGGAGACGGCUUUUUGUUAGAUUUUUCAGACCUGCAUCUUUUUGGUUGCAUUUUCUUUUUAACUGCUGGAUUUUAGAUGUGUGGGGGGUUUUUUUUUUCACCAUUUGAAUUGCAAUCAGCCAUUUUUACAGUAUUACAUUUCAGCAGCAUCAAAGCUGAAUGUAGGAGGGACGCCGGACAAUGACGAAUAACUUGGGUAGCUACAGCGUGUGUGUGGGGGUGCGCGUGUGUGUGAGGAGAUCAUCCAACUGUAGACUUCUCUGCUAACAUAUGAGCUUUUCCCCUGGCAGCAGUAUUAGGAACACACAAUGGCUGAAGUAACCAACACAUCCUGUUAGAUGUGCAGCACUCUUACGUCAUGCUACACAUAGAAUAAGCAACGCAUUGGAUUAUACUGAACACUACUCCAAAGAGAGCCGAGCACUAAUAACACCGACACACGUGCACACUCACGGCUGUGCUUCGUGUUGCAUUUAACAACUUGCGCAGGCAUUUACUAAACGGGUUAGUCACUGCUUUGCCAAAAUAAACUCCCAACAAUAUAAAGCAAAUGAAUGUCUGUUUUGUUCUUGAAAUCAAAAAGCUCAUUUUAUUUUGGUGGUUUGGCUUUCACACUUUCUGGAAUGGCACAUGAAAAUAAAGAGAUGCUUAUGUUU